This 67-nucleotide transfer RNA is filed under the name Marmota monax (woodchuck). RNAcentral describes it as "tRNA.Ala". The record is from RNAcentral. Lineage: Eukaryota; Metazoa; Chordata; Mammalia; Rodentia; Sciuridae.
GGUUGUGGCUCAGUGGUAGACCUCUAGCCUAGCACAUGCGAGGCCCUGGGUUCGAUCCUCAGCACCA